RNAcentral lists this ribosomal RNA (806 nucleotides) under Rhytidhysteron mengziense. Its description in RNAcentral is "SSU rRNA". It matches the Rfam family "Eukaryotic small subunit ribosomal RNA", at positions 144 to 959 of the family's 1831-position model. Lineage: Eukaryota; Fungi; Ascomycota; Dothideomycetes; Hysteriales; Hysteriaceae. The record is from RNAcentral.
UAACCGUGGUAAUUCUAGAGCUAAUACAUGCUAAAAACCCCAACUUCGGGAGGGGUGUAUUUAUUAGAUAAAAAACCAAUGCCCUUCGGGGCUCCUUGGUGAAUCAUAAUAACUUAACGGAUCGCAUGGCCUUGCGCCGGCGACGGUUCAUUCAAAUUUCUGCCCUAUCAACUUUCGAUUGUAGGGUAUUGGCCUACAAUGGUAUCAACGGGUAACGGGGAAUUAGGGUUCGAUUCCGGAGAGGGAGCCUGAGAAACGGCUACCACAUCCAAGGAAGGCAGCAGGCGCGCAAAUUACCCAAUCCCGACGCGGGGAGGUAGUGACAAUAAAUACUGAUACAGGGCUCUUUUGGGUCUUGUAAUUGGAAUGAGUACAAUUUAAAUCCCUUAACGAGGAACAAUUGGAGGGCAAGUCUGGUGCCAGCAGCCGCGGUAAUUCCAGCUCCAAUAGCGUAUAUUAAAGUUGUUGCAGUUAAAAAGCUCGUAGUUGAACCUUGGGCCUGGCUGGCCGGUCCGCCUCACCGCGUGCACUGGUCCGGCCGGGCCUUUCCUUCUGGAGAGCCGCAUGCCCUUCACUGGGUGUGUCGGGGAACCAGGACUUUUACUUUGAAAAAAUUAGAGUGUUCAAAGCAGGCCUUUGCUCGAAUACAUUAGCAUGGAAUAAUAGAAUAGGACGUGCGGUCCUAUUUUGUUGGUUUCUAGGACCGCCGUAAUGAUUAAUAGGGAUAGUCGGGGGCAUCAGUAUUCAAUUGUCAGAGGUGAAAUUCUUGGAUUUAUUGAAGACUAACUACUGCGAAAGCAUUUGCC